RNAcentral lists this ribosomal RNA (620 nucleotides) under uncultured fungus. RNAcentral describes it as "eukaryotic LSU rRNA". It matches the Rfam family "Eukaryotic large subunit ribosomal RNA", at positions 23 to 641 of the family's 3401-position model. The record is from RNAcentral. Lineage: Eukaryota; Fungi.
ACCCGCUGAACUUAAGCAUAUUACUAAGCGGAGGAAAAGAAAUUAACGAAGAUUGCCUCAGUAGCGGCGAGCGAAGUGGCAAAAGCUCAAUUCAAAUCUGUGGCCCUCGGCUACCGAAUUGUAAUCUGAAGGGGUUAGCAAAAGGGGACAUGGAGGCAUAAGUCGCUUGGAACAGUGCGCCAAAGAGGGUGAUAGCCCCGUAUUUGGCCUCCGUAGAACCGAAUGCUGGCUUUCAAAGAGUCGGGUUGUUUGGGAUUGCAGCCCUAAAUGGGAGAUAAACUUCUUCUAAGGCUAAAUAUCGAUGGGAAACCGAUAGCGAACAAGUACUGUGAAGGAAAGAUGAAAAGAACUUUGAAAAGAGGGUUAAAAGACUUGAAAUCGUUGAGAAGGAAGCGGUAGAAGCGGAUUACUUGGCUAUGAAGCAAGCUACGUGCUGUGGCCCUGCAGCGGUGAUGUACCUCAUCGGCUAGCUGUUGCAGUGGUUACGUCUUGUAGUGAUUUCAUGGCUAAAAGGCAACUUCAUGUCUGUGCUUACAGGAAUCAGGAGGGGAGAAGUCUGCGGUUUACCGUAAGCUCCUCUCCAAAACUGUGAGUUGGCAAGAAGCUGCCAAAACCGCUUU